Long non-coding RNA from Pristis pectinata (smalltooth sawfish), 464 nucleotides. RefSeq lists it as uncharacterized. Lineage: Eukaryota; Metazoa; Chordata; Chondrichthyes; Rhinopristiformes; Pristidae. The record is from RefSeq and is a predicted model, not a curated record. The transcript has 3 exons.
GUGAAACUGGGGACCUCAGCUUGUUGUGUGUCACUGUGCUCGGAGGUUUGCUGCUCAGUCUCUGGACUCCUUCACCUGUCUCUUCCCACCAGGGAAUCCACAAAAUGAGGCUGAGGUUUCUCUGCAGCAGUCUGCCUGCUGGUUUGAUGUUCGCUUUCUUGGUUCUUCUACUUCGCCCUGUUUCCACACGUGAAAACAGAGAUCAUAUUUAUUUCUUGGAUAAAGGAAAGGAAGUUGUGUUAGAAGGACCGGUCAAUCCUGGGAAUGGCCCUGUUGUCUGGGAAUGGAAACCACACUCGGGGCAGGACAUCCAGCAGUUGGGGACUUUCAGCAGAUGGGGCCGGGGAUGGCGGAGAGAACAGUGGAGUGGGUGGUACCGGGAGCUGCGUGUGGAUGGUGGUACUGUUAAUCUGAGAAUUAAAAAACCCAACUUUAAAAUUGCGGGAUUGUUCACUUUGACUCAA